ACUGGGUGUGGUGGUGCACGCCUGUAAUCCCAGUGGCUUGGGAGGCUGAGGCACGAGGAUCGCGAGUUCAAAGCCAGCCUCAGCAAAAGCAAGGUGCUAAGCAACUCAGUGAGACCCUGUCUCUA
RNAcentral lists this small RNA (125 nucleotides) under Marmota monax (woodchuck). The record is from RNAcentral. Lineage: Eukaryota; Metazoa; Chordata; Mammalia; Rodentia; Sciuridae.